Molecule: ribosomal RNA, 440 nt
Filed under: uncultured bacterium
Lineage: Bacteria
Description: partial 16S ribosomal RNA
Rfam family: Bacterial small subunit ribosomal RNA
Source: RNAcentral
CCUACGGGAGGCAGCAGUGGGGAAUAUUGCACAAUGGGGGAAACCCUGAUGCAGCGACGCCGCGUGAGUGAAGAAGUAAUUCGUUAUGUAAAGCUCUAUCAGCAGGGAAGAAAAUGACGGUACCUGAGUAAGAAGCCCCGGCUAACUACGUGCCAGCAGCCGCGGUAAUACGUAGGGGGCAAGCGUUAUCCGGAUUUACUGGGUGGAAAGGGAGCGUAGACGGCAGUGCAAGUCUGGAGUGAAAGGCGGGGGCUCAACCCCCGGACUGCUCUGGAAACUGGAAGGCUGGAGUGCAGGAGAGGUAAGUGGAAUUCCUAGUGUAGCGGUGAAAUGCGUAGAUAUUAGGAAGAACACCAGUGGCGAAGGCGGCUUACUGGACUGUAACUGACGUUGAGGCUCGAAAGCGUGGGGAGCAAACAGGAUUAGAUACCCCAGUAGUC